Molecule: ribosomal RNA, 497 nt
Filed under: uncultured bacterium
Lineage: Bacteria
Description: partial 16S ribosomal RNA
Rfam family: Bacterial small subunit ribosomal RNA
Source: RNAcentral
GAUGAACGCUGGCGGCGUGCCUAAUACAUGCAAGUCGAGCGAACAGACGAGGAGCUUGCUCCUCUGACGUUAGCGGCGGACGGGUGAGUAACACGUGGAUAACCUACCUAUAAGACUGGGAUAACUUCGGGAAACCGGAGCUAAUACCGGAUAAUAUAUUGAACCGCAUGGUUCAAUAGUGAAAGACGGUUUUGCUGUCACUUAUAGAUGGAUCCGCGCCGCAUUAGCUAGUUGGUAAGGUAACGGCUUACCAAGGCAACGAUGCGUAGCCGACCUGAGAGGGUGAUCGGCCACACUGGAACUGAGACACGGUCCAGACUCCUACGGGAGGCAGCAGUAGGGAAUCUUCCGCAAUGGGCGAAAGCCUGACGGAGCAACGCCGCGUGAGUGAUGAAGGUCUUCGGAUCGUAAAACUCUGUUAUUAGGGAAGAACAAAUGUGUAAGUAACUAUGCACGUCUUGACGGUACCUAAUCAGAAAGCCACGGCUAGCUACGUG